RNAcentral lists this ribosomal RNA (429 nucleotides) under Acidobacteriota bacterium. RNAcentral describes it as "Acidobacteria bacterium partial 16S ribosomal RNA". It matches the Rfam family "Bacterial small subunit ribosomal RNA", at positions 355 to 776 of the family's 1533-position model. Lineage: Bacteria; Pseudomonadati; Acidobacteriota. The record is from RNAcentral.
UGGGGAAUUUUGGACAAUGGGGGAAACCCUGAUCCAGCCAUCCCGCGUGUGCGAUGAAGGCCUUCGGGUUGUAAAGCACUUUUGGCAGGAAAGAAACGUCAUGGGUUAAUACCCCGUGAAACUGACGGUACCUGCAGAAUAAGCACCGGCUAACUACGUGCCAGCAGCCGCGGUAAUACGUAGGGUGCAAGCGUUAAUCGGAAUUACUGGGCGUAAAGCGUGCGCAGGCGGUUCGGAAAGAAAGAUGUGAAAUCCCAGAGCUCAACUUUGGAACUUCAUUUUUAACUACCGGGCUUGAGUGUGUCAGAGGGAGGUGGAAUUCCGCGUGUAGCAGUGAAAAGCGUAGAUAUGCGGAGGAACACCGAUGGCGAAGGCAGCCUCCUGGAAUAACACUGACGCUCAUGCACGAAAGCGUGGGGAGCAAACAGG